This is a long non-coding RNA of Sarcophilus harrisii (Tasmanian devil), 1564 nucleotides long. The record is from Ensembl. NCBI's taxonomy places the organism in Eukaryota, Metazoa, Chordata, Mammalia, Dasyuromorphia, Dasyuridae.
CCCAUUAUAGAAGGGUGGAUGUGGUGGGUUUGCCUCAGUGGAAACUUCCUAGAGAGCCACCAACAUUGAGGGCAGGGUAGUGAAGGAGAGAGGUGGUAGGGGUGGGUGUGGUGUCCAUUUCAAUAGGUCCUCGAUUAGCUCCAGACAGUGUGCAUGUUCUCUAGUGCCUGGGCUCCUUGAGCUGUAGUAUCUCAAGGAAUGGAGGGGGGAAAACAGGGAACAAGUCUAGAGAGCUUGAGAAAAGCUCGACAGGAAAGACAGACAGACUUCUUUCCUUAAGGUGUUCUUAUGGCUUCAGUUUCUCCCAUUAACUCAUUUCUUGCUGCAGUCAAGUUAUGAGAGGAGAAAAGGGAAAAAAAGCAUCUUCUAAAGAAUUUCAUUUGCCUUGACCUGGAAGUUUAUUCCCCAGCCAUCAUUCCAAAGGUCUUUCUUGAAGCUGCAACUUGGCCAGGGUUGGAGCCCAGAAAAAAAACCCUUAAUUGUUGGCAGCGACCUAGAACACCAAUCCAGAAAAUAAGAGAACCGAGUGUGCUAAGAGCAAAAGGUCUUGGGACUGGGAAAAUUAGGAGCAAAAGAGUUCCCACCUGUAGGGUUAGGUAGGAAAGUGUGAGAGACAGACCUAGCCUGGUUUACCCAGGUUAUCUCUCCACCAGCAGCUGAGAGAAGGUUUUAAGUGGUGCCCUGAGGCUAAGAAAAAAACCCUAGAGCAGUUUAAAAUCCCCUGUCUUUGUAGACAGCCUGGUGAACAGGCAAAAGCUCACUCUGAGGCUUCUACAGUUAAAAGCCUGUGGCGGGAGGGGCGUUGCUCUAAUGCAGGAUGACCAAAUCAGGGAAACCGAGUCCCGUUUAAAAUGUAUGGACCGAGCACGCUUCUCGGGGGCUGGAAGCUGCGGCUUUAAGAGCCAGGACCAUGGACACGGACCUGGCGAUCCGGGCCUUGGAGAAGGAACUCUUGUGCCCGGUCUGCAGGAACUUCUUCCGGGACCCGGUCACGAGCCCUUGCGGCCGCACCUGGUGUCGCGCCUGCUUCCCCGGGGGGGCCCCCGGGGAGCUGCGGACCAGCCUGCGCCUGGACAGAGUGCGGUCCCUGCUGCUGCGCCUGCAGCCCCGGCGGCCCCGUGAGCUCCCCCGGGACCACUGCCCCCUGCAUAUGGAGCCCUUCGCGUUCUUCUGCUGCCAGGACUGGGAGCGCGCAUGCAAAGUGUGCAGAUACUCCCAGGAGCACUCGAAGCACCACAUGAUCCCCCUGGCCCCCCAGAGCCCCUCCGGUGAGUGAGCGGGGGCCAGCCUUUGCCCGUCGCAGGCGCCGGGGUGGAGGAGAGGCACUGCACUGGCCAGGAAGGGGCAGGGGCGAACCCCACCGUGCCGGCCGGCCUCCCCGUGUGUCCGGCUGAAGCUCCACUGGCAUCUGGCCGAAGCUCCCCGUGCGUCCAGCUAAAGCUCCCCUGUGCGUCCGGCCAAAGCUCCCCUGGCAUCCGGCCGAAGGUCCCUGUGCUCCCCACAGUGUGGCCCCGAAGCCGUCCCGGCCCAAGUGGAGGAUGUGCAAUAAUAAAUAAUGGCACCG